This 77-nucleotide small RNA is filed under the name Lysobacteraceae bacterium. Its description in RNAcentral is "sX9 sRNA". It matches the Rfam family "Xanthomonas sRNA sX9". Lineage: Bacteria; Pseudomonadati; Pseudomonadota; Gammaproteobacteria; Lysobacterales; Lysobacteraceae. The record is from RNAcentral.
AUGUACUGACGUGUACACUCCGGUUCCUGUGCUCCGGCGACGCGCAACCUGCCUUCGCUCGCGACGCUUUUCAGGCC